AUAUGUGGUGUACUAUGUAGUGUA
RNAcentral lists this non-coding RNA (24 nucleotides) under Arabidopsis thaliana (thale cress). The record is from RNAcentral. Lineage: Eukaryota; Viridiplantae; Streptophyta; Magnoliopsida; Brassicales; Brassicaceae.